This 253-nucleotide ribosomal RNA is filed under the name uncultured bacterium. RNAcentral describes it as "partial 16S ribosomal RNA". It matches the Rfam family "Bacterial small subunit ribosomal RNA", at positions 524 to 776 of the family's 1533-position model. The record is from RNAcentral.
UACAGAGGGUGCGAGCGUUAAUCGGAAUUACUGGGCGUAAAGCGUGCGUAGACGGUUAUUUAAGUCGGGUGUGAAAGCCCCGGGCUCAACCUGGGAAUUGCAUUCGAGACUGAAUAGCUAGGGUACGGUAGAGGGAAGCGGAAUUUCCGGUGUAGCGGUGAAAUGCGUAGAUAUCUGGAGGAACACCGGUGGCGAAGGCGGCAUCCUGGACCGAUACUGACGCUGAGGAGCGAAAGCCAGGGGAGCAAACGGG